Molecule: ribosomal RNA, 403 nt
Filed under: bacterium
Lineage: Bacteria
Description: partial 16S ribosomal RNA
Rfam family: Bacterial small subunit ribosomal RNA
Source: RNAcentral
UGGGGAAUAUUGCACAAUGGGGGAAACCCUGAUGCAGCGACGCCGCGUGAACGAAGAAGGUAUUCGUAUCGUAAAGUUCUGUCCUAUGGGAAGAUAAUGACAGUACCAUAGAAGAAAGCUCCGGCUAAAUACGUGCCAGCAGCCGCGGUAAUACGUAUGGAGCGAGCGUUGUCCGGAAUUAUUGGGCGUAAAGGGUACGCAGGCGGUUUAAUAAGUCGAAUGUUAAAGAUCGGGGCUCAACCCCGCAAAGCAUUGGAAACUGAUAAACUUGAGUAGUGGAGAGGAAAGUGGAAUUCCUAGUGUAGUGGUGAAAUACGUAGAUAUUAGGAGGAAUACCAGUAGCGAAGGCGACUUUCUGGACACAAACUGACGCUGAGGUACGAAAGCGUGGGGAGCUAACAGG